This 837-nucleotide ribosomal RNA is filed under the name uncultured organism. RNAcentral describes it as "bacterial SSU rRNA". It matches the Rfam family "Bacterial small subunit ribosomal RNA", at positions 14 to 885 of the family's 1533-position model. The record is from RNAcentral.
UGAUCCUGGCUCAGGAUGAACGCUGGCGGUCUGCUUAACACAUGCAAGUCGAACGCUACCUUCGCGUUGAGUGGCUGACGGGUGACGAACGCGUGACAAUCUAGCUUGGCGUCUGCGGACAUCCACUGGAAACGGUGGCUAAUACCGGAUAAGCCUUUGGGUAACCGAUUUAUUGCCCCAAUGAGGAGCUCGCGUCUGAUUAACUACUUGGUGAGGUAAAAGCUCACCAAUGCAGCGAUCAAUACCUGGUCUGAGAGGACUAUCAGCCACACUGUGACUGAGACUCCGGCCAGACUCCUACCCGGAGGCUAGCUCUGGGGACAUUUUCCGCAAUGGGCGAAAGCCUGACGGAUCAAGACCGUGUGACGGAGGAAGGCUCUUGGGUUGUAAACCUCUUUUCUCAGGGAAAAAGCUCUGAUCGGUACCUGAGGAAUCAGCCUCGGGUAACUCCGUGCCUGCAGCCUCGGGUAAUCACGGAGGAGGCAAGCGUAAUCCUCAAUUAUUGCCCGUACAGCGUCCGGCAGGUGGCCAUACAAGUCUGCUGUCAAUACCAAGGGGCUUAGCUCCGUUGAUGCAUUGGAAACUGAAUAGCUAGAGUGCCGUAGGGGUAGAGGGAAUUCCCGGUGUACCGGUGAAAUGCGUAGACAUCGGGACGAACAUCGUUGGCGAAAGCGCUGUACUGGACGGCAACUGACACUCAGGGACGAAAGCUAGGGGAGCGAAUGGGAUUAGAUACCCCAGUAGUCCAAACCGUGAACGAUGGAUACUAGGUCUAGCUUCUAUCGACCCGAGCUAUACCGAAGCUAACGCGGAAAGUAUCCCGCAAGGGGAGUACGC